RNAcentral lists this ribosomal RNA (254 nucleotides) under uncultured bacterium. Its description in RNAcentral is "partial 16S ribosomal RNA". It matches the Rfam family "Bacterial small subunit ribosomal RNA", at positions 524 to 776 of the family's 1533-position model. The record is from RNAcentral.
UACGAAGGGGGCUAGCGUUGUUCGGAAUCACUGGGCGUAAAGGGCGCGUAGGCGGUCAGCACAAGUCAGUUGUGAAAUCUCCGGGCUUAACUCGGAAAGGUCAACUGAUACUGUGCGACUAGAGUGCGGAAGGGGCAACUGGAAUUCUCGGUGUAGCGGUGAAAUGCGUAGAUAUCGAGAGGAACACCUGCGGCGAAGGCGGGUUGCUGGGCCGACACUGACGCUGAUGCGCGAAAGCCAGGGGAGCGAACGGG